AUUGAACGCUGGCGGAAUGCUUUACACAUGCAAGUCGAACGGCAGCACGGGGCAACCUGGUGGCGAGUGGCGAACGGGUGAGUAAUACAUCGGAACGUGCCCAAUCGUGGGGGAUAACGUAGCGAAAGUUACGCUAAUACCGCAUACGAUCUACGGAUGAAAGCGGGGAGUCGCAAGACCUCGCGCGAAUGGAGCGGCCGAUGUCAGAUUAGGUAGUUGGUGGGGUAAAGGCUCACCAAGCCAACGAUCUGUAGCUGGUCUGAGAGGACGACCAGCCACACUGGAACUGAGACAUGAUCAAACUCU
Molecule: ribosomal RNA, 306 nt
Filed under: uncultured bacterium
Lineage: Bacteria
Description: bacterial SSU rRNA
Rfam family: Bacterial small subunit ribosomal RNA
Source: RNAcentral